ACGCUCGACACCUACGGGAAGCAGCAGUAGGGAAUCUUCCACAAUGGACGCAAGUCUGAUGGAGCAACGCCGCGUGAGUGAAGAAGGUUUUCGGAUCGUAAAGCUCUGUUGUUGGUGAAGAAGGAUAGAGGUAGUAACUGGCCUUUAUUUGACGGUAAUCAACCAGAAAGUCACGGCUAACUACGUGCCAGCAGCCACGGUAAUCUGAGCGGGCUGGCAAGGC
This 223-nucleotide ribosomal RNA is filed under the name uncultured bacterium. RNAcentral's name for it is "partial 16S ribosomal RNA". It matches the Rfam family "Bacterial small subunit ribosomal RNA", at positions 326 to 539 of the family's 1533-position model. The record is from RNAcentral.